This 939-nucleotide ribosomal RNA is filed under the name Triticum aestivum (bread wheat). RNAcentral's name for it is "partial small subunit ribosomal RNA". Lineage: Eukaryota; Viridiplantae; Streptophyta; Magnoliopsida; Poales; Poaceae. The record is from RNAcentral.
AUGGCCUUGCUCGGCCACUACAUCAGAUUCAGAAGCGGUACACCGGGGCGCUGCACAGACGUGGCGCUGGAAACAGUGUUGCGUCUCAAGCCGGCAAAGCGCUGGAGUGACAAGAUCGGACAGAACUCUGUGCUGGAGCCUCGCCGUUUCGGCAAGCGGUCGGGGCUUUUCUCGGAGAAGCUAUACGGGCGCGCAGGGCUGAUCAAGUCGGUGGAAGUCUCGCCGGCCGUGAAGGAUGCGGUGCUGAAGUCCUUGAAGAGCAGCUAUGGGGGACUGGACAAAGGAAGCGCGGCGGCGGCGCAGCGGGUGGGCCUCGGCGGCAAGGUCGACAGCUGGGCGUGGCCGGCCAUCGGCGCCGGAAGCGGCACCAGCAGCACCACGGAGCAUAUCCUUGCUUGUCACAUCGGCACAAGGCUCUUCGAGAUCAAGUACUCACACGGCGCGUGCCCGACGUCGGGGGCGGCCGACAUGACAGCCGCCUGCCAUUUGUCCUACUACUGCGCGUACCUGGUGGCGGCCGCGCCGGGGCUGCUGCCGGACAGUCCGGCGUGGACCGACAAGCGGUACAAGGAAGUGGUGAAGGACGUGAAGGCGGCACUGGGAAAGGACGACGACGGCGCCAGCGAGUCGACGGCGCAAAGGUACGAGCAGCUAUGCAAGGAGCUGAGCAAGACCAGCAGGGACGAGGUGCUGCAGCGCGGCGCCGAGCUUGGGAGACGCCUGGUGGAGACGUACGCCGAGGACGAGGCGGCGGCGUGGCGGUUCCUGGCGGAUUUCUGGUCGGAGAUGGUGCUCUUCGUCGCACCGUCGAAGAACGUCAAGGGCCACGUCGAGGCCAUGGGGCGCGGCGGGGAGUUCGUCACGCUCGUGUGGGCGCUGCUCCUGCACGCCGGCGUCACGGACAGGCCUGGAACACGUGACGGUAGUGGAGUCCCUUAA